ACGCCUAAUACAUGCAAGUCGAACGAAGUAGCAAUACUUAGUGGCGAACGGGUGAGUAUAAUGUGGGUAUCUGCCUUUUGGUUUGGAAUAACACGAGGAAACUUGUGCUAAUACCGGAUAAGCCUUUACGGGGAAAGUUUUAACGCCGAAAGAUGAGCCCGCACUUGAUUAGCUAGUUGGUAGGGUAAAAGCCUACCAAGGCUACGAUCAAUAGCUGAUCUGAGAGGAUGAUCAGCCACAUUGGGACUGAGACACGGCCCAAACUCCUACGGGAGGCAGCAGUAGGGAAUCUUGCACAAUGGGGGAAACCCUGAUGCAGCGAUGCCGCGUGAGUGAAGAAGGCCCUUGGGUUGUAAAGCUCUUUCGUCGGGGAAGAAAAUGACUGUACCCGAAUAAGAAGGUCCGGCUAACUUCGUGCCAGCAGCCGCGGUAAUACGAAGGGACCUAGCGUAGUUCGGAAUUACUGGGCUUAAAGAGCUCGUAGGUGGUUAGAAAAGUUAGUGGUGAAAGCCCAAGGCUCAACCUUGGAACUGCCACUAAAACUUUUUAACUAGAGUGUGAUAGAGGUAAGCGGAAUUUCUAGUGUAGAGGUGAAAUUCGUAGAUAUUAGAAAGAACACCAAUUGCGAAGGCAGCUUUCUGGAUCAUUACUGACACUGAGGAGCGAAAGCAUGGGUAGCGAAGAGGAUUAGAUACCCUCGUAGUCCAUGCUGUAAACGAUGUGUGCUAGACGUUGGAAAUUUAUUUUUCAGUGUCGCAGCAAAAGCGUUAAGCACACCGCCUGGGGAGUACG
This 792-nucleotide ribosomal RNA is filed under the name uncultured Pelagibacteraceae bacterium. RNAcentral describes it as "bacterial SSU rRNA". It matches the Rfam family "Bacterial small subunit ribosomal RNA", at positions 44 to 884 of the family's 1533-position model. The record is from RNAcentral. Lineage: Bacteria; Pseudomonadati; Pseudomonadota; Alphaproteobacteria; Candidatus Pelagibacterales; Candidatus Pelagibacteraceae.